CCGGCUAGUGGUCAACAGCCGGUCCCCAGCCUCGGGUGCGUCGAUGGCAACGUCGGGGUGCUGAGCCGAGGUGGUCAAGCCCAAGGGAUUCCCAGACCGUUGGGAGC
Molecule: non-coding RNA, 107 nt
Organism: Streptomyces rubellomurinus
Lineage: Bacteria; Bacillati; Actinomycetota; Actinomycetes; Kitasatosporales; Streptomycetaceae
Source: Rfam